AUCCACCUGAAUCGUGUAUGAGUACCGGCUGAACUUAAGCAUAUCAGUAAGCCGAGGAAGACUAACAAGAGUCCUCAGUA
RNAcentral lists this ribosomal RNA (80 nucleotides) under Robustodorus arachidis. Its description in RNAcentral is "partial 28S ribosomal RNA". The record is from RNAcentral. Lineage: Eukaryota; Metazoa; Nematoda; Chromadorea; Rhabditida; Aphelenchoididae.